AGGACGAACGCUUGCGACGUGCCUAAGAAAUGCAAGUCGAACGGGGAUGAUCUUCGGAUUGUCUUAGUGGCGAACGGUCGCGUAACACGUGGGCAACCUGCCCUGAAGCGGGGGACAACGGUCCGAAAGGGUCGCUAAUACCGCAUGUGCAUACUUACUGGCAUCAGUGUGUAUGCAAAGGACUUCAGUUGAGAGACUGUGGUUCACUUCAGGAUGGGCCCGCGGCCUAUCAGCUAGUUGGAGGGGUAACGGCCCACCAAGGCUUCGACGGGUAGCUGGUCUGAGAGGACGAUCAGCCGGAUUGGGACUGAGAUACGGCCCAGACUCCUACGGGGGGCAGCAAUUAGGAAUCUUGCACAAUGGGGGAAACCCUGAUGCAGCGACGUCGCGUGGAGGAUGGAAUCUUUCGGGAUGUAAACUCCUUUUCCGGGAAGAACAAUGACGGUACCGGUGAAUAAGCCCCGGCUAACUACGCGCCAGCAGCCGCGGU
RNAcentral lists this ribosomal RNA (490 nucleotides) under uncultured bacterium. RNAcentral's name for it is "SSU rRNA". It matches the Rfam family "Bacterial small subunit ribosomal RNA", at positions 26 to 521 of the family's 1533-position model. The record is from RNAcentral.